Long non-coding RNA from Peromyscus eremicus (cactus mouse), 1011 nucleotides. RefSeq lists it as uncharacterized. Lineage: Eukaryota; Metazoa; Chordata; Mammalia; Rodentia; Cricetidae. The record is from RefSeq and is a predicted model, not a curated record. The transcript is spliced from 2 exons.
CCCCGGCCCGCGGCUUAAAUCAUCCUCCGCCGCCGCCGCUGCCGAGGGCCGGGGCAGCAGCUGGCUGGCGGACCCGCGGGCUCCGAGGCCCGCACCUCCAGUCCUGUCACUCAAGCUCCCGCUGUGUGCUUUCAGGUGGCUUUGUACCCUGGGCUCGCCACGGAGCGUCCAGGCAACGAUUAUGUCAGUGGCGAGAUGACAGCUAGGAGACACCCAAAGGGAGAAGCCCAGCCUCCUUCAUGAAGGUGUUGCUGGAGGCGGAGUGGGUGGCGGCCAGCACUCCUCGCCACUCCUUGUUACAAAGUCCUGUCUACCGGCCAGUUUAAUUUGCCAACCGACAGCCCCCUGGAGCCUCUCUGAUCGUCAGACCGGAGAGGGAGGUGAAAUUUUUGCUCAGAUCGGCCCGCCAAUGUUCCUGCGUGUCUUCCCGAGUGCUAAGAGACGAGAGGAGUGGUUCAAGUUUGCAGCGGUGGAGAGAAAUUGGUGCUGGGGGCGGAGAGAGGAAUUUUUCUGCCCAGUGCUUUCUACAAGCAGAGGUGGUGGGGGUGGAUAAUCAGAAGGAGAGGAACACAGGAAGACCUUCUGUAGAGUCAAGGGUCUCAGCGAAAGGCCAAUCUUAGGCUGACUAAGACCCCCGCCCCGACCAGGAAAAAAACAAAAACAAAAAAAACAAAAACACAAAUGCUACCAGGGUUUGUUAGUUCCGCACCAAAAUCAGAAGCGCCUCCCUUUGCCUUGUGAUUGGCUACUUUCUCCCAUUCAGGACAGUCUCCUCACCGCAUUGGCCUAUGAGCAGAUAGAACCUGCCUUCAAGAAUAGUCAGCAAACCAAUUAGGUUUGGGUCUCAGGGAAUUUCGGGAAGUGUAGUUUUCUGGAGUUCUGUGGUCCAAGAAGAUGCCUUCCACUUGGAACUUCUAAAACUUUGCUUUGUAGUUUCAUACUUGUUGAAAGAGGAAGUUAAUUCACCAAAGGGAGGGAACGGAAUAAAACAAAUUUGAAGACUUUCCUAAA